This 484-nucleotide ribosomal RNA is filed under the name uncultured bacterium. RNAcentral's name for it is "partial 16S ribosomal RNA". It matches the Rfam family "Bacterial small subunit ribosomal RNA", at positions 30 to 507 of the family's 1533-position model. The record is from RNAcentral.
AUUGAACGCUGGCGGCAGGCCUAACACAUGCAAGUCGAGCGGAUGAAGGGAGCUUGCUCCUGGACUCAGCGGCGGACGGGUGAGUAAUGCCUAGGAAUCUGCCUGGUAGUGGGGGAUAACGUCCGGAAACGGGCGCUAAUACCGCAUACGUCCUGAGGGAGAAAGUGGGGGAUCUUCGGACCUCACGCUAUCAGAUGAGCCUAGGUCGGAUUAGCUAGUUGGUGGGGUAAAGGCCUACCAAGGCGACGAUCCGUAACUGGUCUGAGAGGAUGAUCAGUCACACUGGAACUGAGACACGGUCCAGACUCCUACGGGAGGCAGCAGUGGGGAAUAUUGGACAAUGGGCGAAAGCCUGAUCCAGCCAUGCCGCGUGUGUGAAGAAGGUCUUCGGAUUGUAAAGCACCUUAAGUUGGGAGGAAGGGCAGUAAGUUAAUACCUUGCUGUUUUGACGUUACCAACAGAAUAAGCACCGGCUAACUUCGUG